ACGUAUCCACGUAUAAACCAUUGUGAACUGUUCUAUUAACCUUUACCACUUUGAUAUCAAGAGAGUGCGAACUAGACAUCCAAAACAGCAAUAGUAAUUGAGCUGUCGUCCAGUGCGCCGCAGUCGAUGUUUCUCUUCGGAGUGCGCGACUACGCUUGCAAAGUCGUAAAGUGUAUUCAAUUACUACUUAUUAACCAUUAUAACCCAAUCUUUAUAACUUUAUGAACUAACUUUAUUUUAUACUCUUCGGAGAUAAAAUUCAUUACGAAACAAAGAACAACUCUUAGCAACGGAUAUCUUGGUUCU
Molecule: unclassified non-coding RNA, 306 nt
Filed under: rhizosphere metagenome
Description: partial ribosomal RNA internal transcribed spacer region
Source: RNAcentral